This 540-nucleotide ribosomal RNA is filed under the name marine sediment bacterium BB0608_2216_1.1_7S0. Its description in RNAcentral is "bacterial SSU rRNA". It matches the Rfam family "Bacterial small subunit ribosomal RNA", at positions 60 to 594 of the family's 1533-position model. The record is from RNAcentral.
AGUUAUCUGAACCUUCGGGGAACGAUAACGGCGUCGAGCGGCGGACGGGUGAGUAAUGCCUAGGAAAUUGCCCUGAUGUGGGGGAUAACCAUUGGAAACGAUGGCUAAUACCGCAUGAUGCCUACGGGCCAAAGAGGGGGACCUUCGGGCCUCUCGCGUCAGGAUAUGCCUAGGUGGGAUUAGCUAGUUGGUGAGGUAAGGGCUCACCAAGGCGACGAUCCCUAGCUGGUCUGAGAGGAUGAUCAGCCACACUGGAACUGAGACACGGUCCAGACUCCUACGGGAGGCAGCAGUGGGGAAUAUUGCACAAUGGGCGCAAGCCUGAUGCAGCCAUGCCGCGUGUAUGAAGAAGGCCUUCGGGUUGUAAAGUACUUUCAGUCGUGAGGAAGGCGGCGUCGUUAAUAGCGGCGUUGUUUGACGUUAGCGACAGAAGAAGCACCGGCUAACUCCGUGCCAGCAGCCGCGGUAAUACGGAGGGUGCGAGCGUUAAUCGGAAUUACUGGGCGUAAAGCGCAUGCAGGUGGUUUGUUAAGUCAGAUG